UAGGGAAUAUUGGACAAUGGGGGCAACCCUGAUCCAGCCAUGCCGCGUGAGUGAAGAAGGCCCUCGGGUUGUAAAGCUCUUUUGUCCGGAAAGAAAAGCUUCGGGUUAAUACCCCGGGGUUCUGACGGUACCGGAAGAAUAAGCACCGGCUAACUUCGUGCCAGCAGCCGCGGUAAUACGAAGGGUGCAAGCGUUACUCGGAAUUACUGGGCGCAAAGCGUGCGUAGGUGGUUGUUUAAGUCUGAUGUGAAAGCCCUGGGCUCAACCUGGGAAUGGCGUUGGAAACUGGGCAGCUAGAGUGCGGUAGAGGGUAGUGGAAUUCCCGGUGUAGCAGUGAAAUGCGUAGAGAUCGGGAGGAACAUCUGUGGCGAAGGCGACUGCCUGGACCAGCACUGACACUGAGGCACGAAAGCGUGGGGAGCAAACA
Molecule: ribosomal RNA, 427 nt
Filed under: uncultured bacterium
Lineage: Bacteria
Description: bacterial SSU rRNA
Rfam family: Bacterial small subunit ribosomal RNA
Source: RNAcentral